RNAcentral lists this ribosomal RNA (450 nucleotides) under uncultured bacterium. RNAcentral's name for it is "bacterial SSU rRNA". It matches the Rfam family "Bacterial small subunit ribosomal RNA", at positions 28 to 478 of the family's 1533-position model. The record is from RNAcentral.
GAUGAACGCUGGCGGCGUGCUUAACACAUGCAAGUCGAGCGAAGCACUUAAGUUUGAUUCUUCGGAUGAAGACUUUUGUGACUGAGCGGCGGACGGGUGAGUAACGCGUGGGUAACCUGCCUCAUACAGGGGGAUAACAGUUAGAAAUGGCUGCUAAUACCGCAUAAGACCACAGUACUGCAUGGUACAGUGGUAAAAACUCCGGUGGUAUGAGAUGGACCCGCGUCUGAUUAGGUAGUUGGUGAGGUAACGGCCCACCAAGCCGACGAUCAGUAGCCGACCUGAGAGGGUGACCGGCCACAUUGGGACUGAGACACGGCCCAGACUCCUACGGGAGGCAGCAGUGGGGAAUAUUGCACAAUGGGCGAAAGCCUGAUGCAGCGACGCCGCGUGAAGGAUGAAGUAUUUCGGUAUGUAAACUUCUAUCAGCAGGGAAGAAAAUGACGGUAC